AGUGAACGCUGGCGGUAGGCCUAACACAUGCAAGUCGAACGGCAGCACAGUAAGAGCUUGCUCUUACGGGUGGCGAGUGGCGGACGAGUGAGGAAUACAUCGGAAUCUACUUUUUCGUGGGGGAUAACGUAGGGAAACUUACGCUAAUACCGCAUACGACCUACGGGUGAAAGCAGGGGAUCUUCGGACCUUGCGCGAUUGAAUGAGCCGAUGUCGGAUUAGCUAGUUGGCGGGGUAAAGGCCCACCAAGGCGACGAUCCGUAGCUGGUCUGAGAGGAUGAUCAGCCACACUGGAACUGAGGCACGGUCCAGACUCCUACGGGAGGCAGCAGUGGGGAAUAUUGGACAAUGGGCGCAAGCCUGAUCCAGCCAUACCGCGUGGGUGAAGAAGGCCUUCGGGUUGUAAAGCCCUUUUGUUGGGAAAGAAAAGCAGCAGGUUAAUACCCCGCUGUUCUGACGGUACCCAAAGAAUAAGCACCGGCUAACUUCGUG
Molecule: ribosomal RNA, 492 nt
Filed under: uncultured bacterium
Lineage: Bacteria
Description: partial 16S ribosomal RNA
Rfam family: Bacterial small subunit ribosomal RNA
Source: RNAcentral